Molecule: non-coding RNA, 26 nt
Filed under: Mus musculus (house mouse)
Lineage: Eukaryota; Metazoa; Chordata; Mammalia; Rodentia; Muridae
Source: RNAcentral
UGGGUAAAUGUCUUAACCUCUGUGAC